This 254-nucleotide ribosomal RNA is filed under the name uncultured Stenotrophomonas sp. RNAcentral describes it as "partial 16S ribosomal RNA". It matches the Rfam family "Bacterial small subunit ribosomal RNA", at positions 99 to 354 of the family's 1533-position model. The record is from RNAcentral. Lineage: Bacteria; Pseudomonadati; Pseudomonadota; Gammaproteobacteria; Lysobacterales; Lysobacteraceae.
CGGACGGGUGAGGAAUACAUCGGAAUCUACUCUGUCGUGGGGGAUAACGUAGGGAAACUUACGCUAAUACCGCAUACGACCUACGGGUGAAAGCAGGGGAUCUUCGGACAUUGCGCGAUUGAAUGAGCCGAUGUCGGAUUAGCUAGUUGGCGGGGUAAAGGCCCACCAAGGCGACGAUCCGUAGCUGGUCUGAGAGGAUGAUCAGCCACACUGGAACUGAGACACGGUCCAGACUCCUACGGGAGGCAGCAGGC